AUUGAACGCUGGCGGCAGGCCUAACACAUGCAAGUCGAGCGGAUGAAGGGAGCUUGCUCCUGGAUUCAGCGGCGGACGGGUGAGUAAUGCCUAGGAAUCUGCCUGGUAGUGGUUUAUAACGUCCGGAAACGGGCGCUAAUACCGCAUACGUCCUGAGGGAGAAAGUGGGGGAUCUUCGGACCUCACGCUCUCAGAUGAGUCUAGGUCGGAUUAGCUAGUUGGUGGGGUAAAGGCCUACCAAGGCGACGAUCCGUAACUGGUCUGAGAGGAUGAUCAGUCACACUGGAACUGAGACACGGUCCAGACUCCUACGGGAGGCAGCAGUGGGGAAUAUUGGACAAUGGGCGAAAGCCUGAUCCAGCCAUGCCGCGUGUGUGAAGAAGGUCUUCGGAUUGUAAAGCACUUUAAGUUGGGAGGAAGGGCAGUAAGUUAAUACCUUGCUGUUUUGACGUUACCAACAGAAUAAGCACCGGCUAACUUCGUG
RNAcentral lists this ribosomal RNA (484 nucleotides) under uncultured bacterium. Its description in RNAcentral is "partial 16S ribosomal RNA". It matches the Rfam family "Bacterial small subunit ribosomal RNA", at positions 30 to 507 of the family's 1533-position model. The record is from RNAcentral.